Oryza glumipatula is the source of this 204-nucleotide non-coding RNA. The record is from Rfam. Lineage: Eukaryota; Viridiplantae; Streptophyta; Magnoliopsida; Poales; Poaceae.
UUUAAGUGCAACCAUAGUUUCCAUGUUUAACUUUAAUCAUCCGUCUUAUUCGAAAUUUUCUAUAAUUAGUAUUUUUAUUGUUAUGAGAUGAUAAAGUAUGAAUAUUACUUUAUAUGUGAUUUAUUUUUUUAAUUCUUUUUUAAAAAAACUAAAUACGAUGAAUGAUCAAAGUUAUGCGCAAAAAAAAUCAUAGCUGCACUUAAA